This 492-nucleotide ribosomal RNA is filed under the name uncultured bacterium. RNAcentral describes it as "partial 16S ribosomal RNA". It matches the Rfam family "Bacterial small subunit ribosomal RNA", at positions 30 to 507 of the family's 1533-position model. The record is from RNAcentral.
AUUGAACGCUGGCGGCAGGCCUAACACAUGCAAGUCGAACGGAUGAACAGUACUUGCUUGUUGUUUCAGCGGCCGACGGGUGGGUGAUGCCUAGAAAUCUCCCUGUCUAUUUUUUCUUAGGUCCUAACACAGGGGAUCUUACCCCAUUACUCCAUACGACGUACGUGUGGGAUCUUUGGAUCUUCCGACCUUACGUGAUUGUAUGUGGCGAUGUCGGAUUAGAUAGUUGGCGGGGUAAAGGCCCACCAAGCCGACGAUCCGUAGCUGGUCUGAGAGGAUGAUCAGUCACACUGGAACUGAGACACGGUCAAGACUCCUACGGGAGGCAGCAGUGGGGAAUAUUGGACAAUGGGCGAAAGCCUGAUCCAGCCAUACCGCGUGUGUGAAGAAGGUCUUCGGAUUGUAAAGCACUUUUGGUGGGGAGGAAGGGCAGUAAGUUAAUACCUUGCUGUUUUGACGUUACCAAAAGAAUAAGCACCGGCUAACUUCGUG